This 729-nucleotide long non-coding RNA is filed under the name Prunus persica (peach). RNAcentral describes it as "long non-coding RNA (PPER_LNC003496)". The record is from RNAcentral. Lineage: Eukaryota; Viridiplantae; Streptophyta; Magnoliopsida; Rosales; Rosaceae.
GAGGACUUUAGAUUUGAGGGAUUUGGAUAUGGGGAAAAAUUAUGAGUAAUUUGAUUUAGGAUUUAGGAUUUGAAUAUGAGAAAUUUGAGAUAAGGGUUUAGAGACAACCUAGGAUCGAUUGCUCUGAUACCAUACUAAAAUAUGAAUAUGGUUUGAAUGUAUUAGGUUGAAUUAUAUUCUUCUCCAUAAUGAGGUAUAUAUAGGAGUUUACAUGAGUGCUUUACAAGGAAAUAGAUGUAGUAAUCAAUUAGAAUAUUAUUUCCUAAUUAUACAAAGAUUUGUCAACUAAAUAAAAUGGGAAAGUAAAUCCCUUAAUUAAUCAAGGAAAUAAAUCUCCUUGAUUAAUUAGGAGACUCACGUCAACAGUCACAGCAAUGAAAUAUUUGCUUCUCGUCAAUAUUGUGCAAGCGGCAAAACUGUUCCACAGUCAGUGAACAUGGUACUUUGGAUGGCAGUUUAUUUCGUCACCUCUGACGUAUUUUGUAUAUGCCCAACAUUUUCAUUAAAAACCAAAAGAAAAAAAUAACUUAGGAAAAAAAAAAGGAAGCUUUUUAAAAAUAAAUUAGCAUGAAAUAUUCAUAUACCAUGCUCGCAUUACUUCUGGUUGUAGUAAAUUAGGUUUUUAGAUAAUGUGAGCAUUAAUUUAUAGCAAAAUGUGUGUGUGUAUAUAUAUAUUUAAACAUUUACAAUUUAGAAUACAAGUGUUGAAUCCAUACAUAGAUAGUCAAU